This is an RNA transcript of Triticum aestivum (bread wheat), 582 nucleotides long. RefSeq lists it as uncharacterized. The record is from RefSeq and is a predicted model, not a curated record. The transcript is spliced from 3 exons. Lineage: Eukaryota; Viridiplantae; Streptophyta; Magnoliopsida; Poales; Poaceae.
CGUGUCUCCCUGAUCCUCCGUAUGGAAAACAUGUCGAGGGCUUCGGGUCGGGUGGUUUGACGAGCAAUGAGAUCGCGCUGGUGGGGAGGCACCUCACGGUAAUGGCGGGCGCGGCAGAGCGGCGCUGGAUGCCGAUGGUGAGUUCCUAUUGGAUCCAGUUGACCGGUUCCCACUCAGGGAAGAGUUGGCCGACAGCUUGGAGCAGCCAAAUCCGGACACUCUAGGGUUCCUCCGACCAUCCAUGGCCAUUGGGCUGCAUCGCCGCCGAUGCCGUUGCCACCGCCCCGUCGCCGUCGACCCCGACACCACCGCUGCUCUCUACAUCUCAGUCUCGCCGGGGCCCCUCUCUGCCUUGGUCCCCUCUACUGGACAGCUGCUCGGCGGUGUCGUCUUUCUCCUGUACUGGUUGGCGGCAUCUCGUUCUCCGGCACCAACAAGUCCAUGGCCCCAUGGUUCUGCACGAAAUCUCUAGUCCGGCAGCCUCCAUCAGACACCACGGGCUUCUUUACUUCAAGGCAUGUGCUACACUUCAGCUGACUGAUUUGGAGGUAUUGUGGUAUGUGAACUGGACAUCAGAAGUUG